This 523-nucleotide ribosomal RNA is filed under the name Carabus phoenix phoenix. RNAcentral describes it as "partial 16S ribosomal RNA". It matches the Rfam family "Bacterial large subunit ribosomal RNA", at positions 1829 to 2599 of the family's 2925-position model. The record is from RNAcentral. Lineage: Eukaryota; Metazoa; Arthropoda; Insecta; Coleoptera; Carabidae.
GUCCUUUUGGAUUUUUAUUUAAGGUCUAGUCUGCCCACUGAAUUUAUAUUUUUAAAUGGCCGCAGUAUUUUGACUGUGCAAAGGUAGCAUAAUCAAUAGUUUUUUAAUUAAAAGCUUGUAUGAAAGGCUGGACGAGGUAAAAUCUGUCUCUAUUUAAAUUAAAAUAGAAUUUAACUUUUAAGUUAAAAGGCUUAAAUAUUAUUAAAAGACGAGAAGACCCUAUAGAUCUUUAUAAUUUGUUAAUUAAAAUUAGUUUAGAAAUAUUAAUGUUUUAUUUAAUUAAAUUAUUUUAUUGGGGUAAUAGAAAGAUUAAAUUAAUUCUUUUUUAUAGUGAACAUUAAUUUAUGAAUAUUAAAUGAUCCAGUUUUAUUGAUUAUAAGAUUAAGUUACCUUAGGGAUAACAGCGUAAUUUUUUUAGAGAGUUCAUAUCGAUAAAAAAGUUUGCGACCUCGAUGUUGGAUUAAAGAUUAUUUUAGGUGUAGAAGCUUAAUAAUUUUGGUCUGUUCGACCAUUAAAUCUUUAC